RNAcentral lists this microRNA precursor (93 nucleotides) under Pelodiscus sinensis (Chinese soft-shelled turtle). RNAcentral describes it as "miRNA (ENSPSIG00000019439.1)". Lineage: Eukaryota; Metazoa; Chordata; Testudines; Trionychidae. The record is from RNAcentral.
GUAUGUGUAUCUGUGUGUGUAAGUGCAUGAGUAUGAUAUUUCAACACACACACACACACACACACACAUACACACACACACACACGUAUAUAU